AUGAACGCUAGCGGCAGGCUUAAUACAUGCAAGUCGUGGGGCAGCAGGUUUGUAGCAAUACAGAUGCUGGCGACCGGCAAACGGGUGCGGAACACGUACAGAACCUUCCUUUGAGCGGGGAAUAGCCCAGAGAAAUUUGGAUUAAUACCCCAUAGUAUAAUGAAGUGGCAUCACUUUAUUAUUAAAGAUUUAUCACUCGAAGAUGGCUGUGCGGCUGAUUAGGUAGUUGGCGGGGUAAAGGCCCACCAAGCCUGCGAUCAGUAACUGGUGUGAGAGCACGACCAGUCACACGGGCACUGAGACACGGGCCCGACUCCUACGGGAGGCAGCAGUAAGGAAUAUUGGUCAAUGGAGGCAACUCUGAACCAGCCAUGCCGCGUGGAGGAUGAAGGUCCUCUGGAUUGUAAAACUUCUUUUAUAUGGGACGAAAAAAAGGCUUUUCUAAGUCGUCUGACGGUACCAUAUGAAUAA
Molecule: ribosomal RNA, 471 nt
Filed under: uncultured bacterium
Lineage: Bacteria
Description: bacterial SSU rRNA
Rfam family: Bacterial small subunit ribosomal RNA
Source: RNAcentral